This is a long non-coding RNA of Galeopterus variegatus (Sunda flying lemur), 355 nucleotides long. RefSeq lists it as uncharacterized. The record is from RefSeq and is a predicted model, not a curated record. The transcript is spliced from 3 exons. NCBI's taxonomy places the organism in Eukaryota, Metazoa, Chordata, Mammalia, Dermoptera, Cynocephalidae.
AUAUUACCACAUCUUUUUUAUAUUUUCUCAGACUUUCACAGGACUAACAACCCAGGAGAGCUCCCAAAAGGCCCUCCCUAAAGUCGGGCUGGACAGAUAUUACACAUGAGAUGGAAGGUGGAUAAAGAUUUGUUUCUCCUGCUUCGUUGCUUUAACCAGCUGAAGUGUGAACCUCAAGAUUAAGAAAGAGAACUAUUGGAGAAUUGGAUAUUGACCUUAGAAAUUUGGAGGAAGAGAUGAUCUCAUGAAAUUGGACCUGUAUCUAACACUAUGCACAAAAAAAACCUCAAAAUGGAUAAAAUACCUACAUGUAAGACCUGAAGUCAUAAAUCUAGAAGAAAAACAUAGAGGAAAG